CCUACGGGUGGCUGCAGUGGGGAAUAUUGCACAAUGGGCGCAAGCCUGAUGCAGCCAUGCCGCGUGUGUGAAGAAGGCCUUCGGGUUGUAAAGCACUUUCAGCGGGGAGGAAGGCGUUAAGGUUAAUAACCUUGUCGAUUGACGUUACCCGCAGAAGAAGCACCGGCUAACUCCGUGCCAGCAGCCGCGGUAAUACGGAGGGUGCAAGCGUUAAUCGGAAUUACUGGGCGUAAAGCGCACGCAGGCGGUCUGUCAAGUCGGAUGUGAGAUCCCCGGGCUCAACCUGGGAACUGCAUUCGAAACUGGCAGGCUAGAGUCUUGUAGAGGGGGGUAGAAUUCCAGGUGUAGCGGUGAAAUGCGUAGAGAUCUGGAGGAAUACCGGUGGCGAAGGCGGCCCCCUGGACAAAGACUGACGCUCAGGUGCGAAAGCGUGGGGAGCAAACAGGAUUAGAUACCCGUGUAGUC
Molecule: ribosomal RNA, 465 nt
Filed under: uncultured Klebsiella sp.
Lineage: Bacteria; Pseudomonadati; Pseudomonadota; Gammaproteobacteria; Enterobacterales; Enterobacteriaceae
Description: bacterial SSU rRNA
Rfam family: Bacterial small subunit ribosomal RNA
Source: RNAcentral